Molecule: long non-coding RNA, 1630 nt
Filed under: Olea europaea subsp. europaea
Lineage: Eukaryota; Viridiplantae; Streptophyta; Magnoliopsida; Lamiales; Oleaceae
Source: RNAcentral
CACAGGCCUGAAAAUUCUGUUCCCGGGGACACUUGCAUGCGCAUCGUUUAAUUUUCCCUCACCCAAUCACGAAUGAGGUAAGUGUCAGAAGCAUGCCAUGUCAUUCAUGUCUCUCCGACUGUGUGUGUUAACUUUACAUUCUAAAACAACUGGUAAGCUUAGAACAAUCCUGAAGAUUGAGUUAAAUUUACAUUCUAAAACAACCAGUAAGUUUAGAACAAUCCUGAAGAUGGAAUUAUGUCAUUCAUUAUAUAGUUACUCAAGUUAAUUAUAUAUUAACUUCUAAUUGAUUACUAGAGAUGUAUUUGGUAGUUGUUUCAAGGACUAAUUUGGUAUUCUUCCACGAUUAAUGCCUCAUUUCUCCCCAUAUAAGCACGGUGCUUUCUUUGUUAAAAUGGAAGGAGGGAAAAGAUUACAGCCAUCUUUGUGAAGAGAAGUUUAAGAACACAUCGUUCACCUAUGAUUUCCCUCAAGGAAACAACGGGGCUAGUUUUCUUUUUAAAUGAACAGUGUAUAAAUUGUAGUUGUAGCAUGUUCACCUGCCCAAACUACACAUUUAGUUGAGUUUGCGUCCAUAUGAUUCAUGUUCCUAAGUUGAAGGAAAUUCUCGAAAGCAAGCCUUCUAGCAGUCUAUUGUUCCCCAAUCAAAUGAUUCUUGUACACUCAAGUCAGUAGUUGAGUUGUUAAAAGUCAUUUUCAUGAUAAACUCUCGAAAGCAAGCCUUCUAGCAGUCUAUUGUUCCCCAAUCAAAUGAUUCUUGUACACUCAAGUCAGUAGUUGAGUUGUUAAAAGUCAUUUUCAUGAUUCAGAAGUUGGAUGAAACUGAAAUCUCUCAUUUUUUCCCCUUUAUUUGAAGGUAAUUGAUAUAACUGCAUCACUGCCACCCAUUCUCCUAACGCAAGGAGAGUCAAAAGAAAUCACACAAGGUUAGUGAAGAUGUUUAAGUGAUGCAGUUUGAAUUUCGUUUAUUUAUUUACUUUCUUUUCCUUUCCCUAAUUUAGAUUUGGUGGGUUUUAUAUUAGAAAUUUUGUUGUUUUUCAUGUAGUUUAAUUUCAUGCGCCAACCCCAUUGAAUCGGCCUGAGGCUUAUAGAUUGUAUUUGUGGAGUUUUAUAUCAAAAAACGUAGUUGUUGACUUGAAAUCUAGAGAGUCAGUUUGGGAAAGAAUAUAUGAACGGUAUAAUCUAUAAAUAGAUAAAAAUGAAAAAUGAAUAAGUAAAUAGUACUUUUGGAUCCGUCGAAAUGUAUGGCUGAAUUUUGUCAAAUGAAGUUUAAGUGAAAACACGGCUCAAUAGACCGCCAAAAUAUUUAUUAGAGUCGACCAGAGACGAAGAAAAAACCUUCAGGCGUUUGAAAUGAAACAUUUACUAGGAAUAAUAUGGGAAGUUGUUUAGUCUUAAGUUACAAAACACUGCUAAAAAUAAUUGUCCUGUAUUUGCUUAAAAUAUAUAUAGCUGACAAUUGAAACUUGAACAAGAAUAUAUUACGAAUAUGACAAAUAUUUUGGAGUGCUUUUCAAAAGUGUGACAAGGAUGUUUGUUUUGUGCAUAACAUUGGCACCCGCACACAGUAACGUCUAUUGAAAGAUAUUGGCACCCCCACGGUAACGUAUACUGAAACAUCUGAUCUAUU